Molecule: ribosomal RNA, 334 nt
Filed under: uncultured eukaryote
Lineage: Eukaryota
Description: partial 18S ribosomal RNA
Rfam family: Eukaryotic small subunit ribosomal RNA
Source: RNAcentral
CCCUUAGAUGUCCGGGGCCGCACGCGCGCUACACUGAAGGAAUCAGCGUGGCUUUCUCCCUGACCCGAAAGGGUUGGGAAACCCGUUGAAUCUCCUUCGUGAUAGGGAUUGGGGCUUGAAAUUGUUCCCCAUGAACGAGGAAUUCCCAGUAAGCGCGAGUCAUAAGCUCGCGUUGAUUACGUCCCUGCCCUUUGUACACACCGCCCGUCGCUACUACCGAUUGAACGGUUUAGUGAGGGCCUCGGAUUGGUCUCGGCCCGCUCUUUACCGGGCGGCGCCGUUGGUCGAGAAGACGCUAGAACUUGAUCGUUUAGAGGAAGUAAAAGUCGUAACA